UACGUAGGGGGCAAGCGUUGUCCGGAAUUAUUGGGCGUAAAGAGCUCGUAGGCGGUUUGUCGCGUCUGCUGUGAAAACCCGAGGCUCAACCUCGGGCCUGCAGUGGGUACGGGCAGACUAGAGUGCGGUAGGGGGAGAUUGGAAUUCCUGGUGUAGCGGUGGAAUGCGCAGAUAUCAGGAGGAACACCGAUGGCGAAGGCAGAUCUCUGGGCCGUAACUGACGCUGAGGAGCGAAAAGCAUGGGGGAGCGAACAGG
Molecule: ribosomal RNA, 256 nt
Filed under: uncultured bacterium
Lineage: Bacteria
Description: partial 16S ribosomal RNA
Rfam family: Bacterial small subunit ribosomal RNA
Source: RNAcentral